Molecule: ribosomal RNA, 450 nt
Filed under: uncultured bacterium
Lineage: Bacteria
Description: partial 16S ribosomal RNA
Rfam family: Bacterial small subunit ribosomal RNA
Source: RNAcentral
GUGGGGAAUUUUGGACAAUGGGCGCAAGCCUGAUCCAGCAAUGCCGCGUGCAGGAAGAAGGCCUUCGGGUUGUAAACUGCUUUUGUACGGAACGAAACGGUCCGGGUUAAUACCCUGGGCUAAUGACGGUACCGUAAGAAUAAGCACCGGCUAACUACGUGCCAGCAGCCGCGGUAAUACGUAGGGUGCAAGCGUUAAUCGGAAUUACUGGGCGUAAAGCGUGCGCAGGCGGUUUUGUAAGACAGGCGUGAAAUCCCCGGGCUCAACCUGGGAAUUGCGCUUGUGACUGCAAGGCUGGAGUGCGGGAGAGGGGGAUGGAAUUCCGCGUGUAGCAGUGAAAUGCGUAGAUAUGCGGAGGAACACCGAUGGCGAAGGCAAUCCCCUGGGCCUGCACUGACGCUCAUGCACGAAAGCGUGGGGAGCAAACAGGAUUAGAAACCCUGGUAGUCC